GACGAACGCUGGCGGCGUGCUUAACACAUGCAAGUCGAACGAAGUGGCGAACGGGUGAGUAACGCGUAAUCAACCUGCCCUUCAAAGGGGGACAACAGUUGGAAACGACUGCUAAUACCGCAUACGGAAGGAGGGGAUUGCGUCGGAUUAGCUGGUUGGCGGGGGAACGGCCCACCAAGGCGAUGACAAGUAGCCGGUCUGAGAGGAUGAACGGCCACAUUGGGACUGAGACACGGCCCAGACUCCUACGGGAGGCAGCAGUGGGGAAUCUUCCGCAAUGGACGAAAGUCUGACGGAGCAACGCCGCGUGAGUGAUGACGGCCUUCGGGUUGUAAAGCUCUGUUAAUCGGGACGCGGUACCGGAAUAGAAAGCCACGGCUAACUACGUGCCAGCAGCCGCGGUAAUUC
Molecule: ribosomal RNA, 408 nt
Filed under: uncultured bacterium
Lineage: Bacteria
Description: partial 16S ribosomal RNA
Rfam family: Bacterial small subunit ribosomal RNA
Source: RNAcentral